RNAcentral lists this ribosomal RNA (398 nucleotides) under uncultured bacterium. RNAcentral describes it as "partial 16S ribosomal RNA". It matches the Rfam family "Bacterial small subunit ribosomal RNA", at positions 523 to 918 of the family's 1533-position model. The record is from RNAcentral.
AUACGUAGGGUGCGAGCGUUGUCCGGAAUUACUGGGCGUAAAGAGCUCGUAGGUGGUUUGUCGCGUCGUCUGUGAAAUUCCGGGGCUUAACUCCGGGCGUGCAGGCGAUACGGGCAUAACUUGAGUACUGUAGGGGAGACUGGAAUUCCUGGUGUAGCGGUGAAAUGCGCAGAUAUCAGGAGGAACACGGGUGGCGAAGGCGGGUCGCUGGGCGGUAACUGACGCUGAGGAGCGAAAGCAUGGGUAGCGAACAGGAUUAGAUGCCCUGGUAGUCCAUGCCGUAACCGGUGGGCGCUAGGUGUAGGGGUCUUCCACGACUUCUGUGCCGUAGCUAACGCAUUAAGCGCCCCGCCUGGGGAGUACGGCCGCAAGGCUAAAACUCAAAUGAAUUGACGGGG